GUCGGAGGAAGGUGGGAUGACGUCAAAUCAUCAUGCCCUUAUGACCUGGGCUACACACGUGCUACAAUGGCCGGUACAGACGGACGCAAAGCCGCGAGGUGGAGCAAAUCCUAAAAAGCCGGUCUCAGUUCGGAUUGCAGGCUGCAAUUCGCCUGCAUGAAGUCGGAAUCGCUAGUAAUCGCAGGUCAGCAUACUGCGGUGAAUACGUUCCCGGGCCUU
This 219-nucleotide ribosomal RNA is filed under the name uncultured Bacillus sp. RNAcentral's name for it is "partial 16S ribosomal RNA". It matches the Rfam family "Bacterial small subunit ribosomal RNA", at positions 1162 to 1382 of the family's 1533-position model. The record is from RNAcentral. Lineage: Bacteria; Bacillati; Bacillota; Bacilli; Caryophanales; Bacillaceae.